Non-coding RNA from Podarcis lilfordi (Lilford's wall lizard), 98 nucleotides. Lineage: Eukaryota; Metazoa; Chordata; Lepidosauria; Squamata; Lacertidae. The record is from the annotation of a GenBank genome assembly.
AGUGGGCAGAUCUACAUCAUGCAUUUAAAGCUCAUGACUUCUCCCAAAGAAUACUGGGAAUGGGUGUGCUUUAAGUGUGUGGUGUGGAUCUGCCCACA